RNAcentral lists this ribosomal RNA (253 nucleotides) under uncultured bacterium. RNAcentral's name for it is "partial 16S ribosomal RNA". It matches the Rfam family "Bacterial small subunit ribosomal RNA", at positions 524 to 776 of the family's 1533-position model. The record is from RNAcentral.
UACGUAGGUGGCAAGCGUUGUCCGGAUUUACUGGGCGUAAAGAGCGCGCAGGCGGUCGUUUAAGUCGAAUGUGAAAGCCCCCGGCUCAACUGGGGAGGGUCAUUCGAUACUGAUCGACUUGAAGGCAGGAGAGAGAAGUGGAAUUUCCGGUGUAGCGGUGAAAUGCGUAGAUAUCGGAAGGAACAUCAGUGGCGAAAGCGACUUCCUGGACCAAUACUGACGCUCAUGUGCGAAAGCGUGGGGAGCAAACAGG